CUAAGAAUCUUCCGCAAUGGGGGAAACCCUGACGGAGCGACGCCGCGUGGACGAAGGAGGCCGCAAGGUUGUAAAGUCCUUUUGCAGGCGAAGAAUAGGCUUAGGAGUGGAACGCCUGAGCGAUGACGGUAGCCUGCGAAUAAGCCCCGGCCAAUUACGUGCCAGCAGCCGCGGUAACACGUAUGGGGCGAGCGUUGCCCGGAAUUAAUGGGCGUAAAGGGCGUGUAGGCGGUUUCGCAAGCCUGGCGUGAAAGGUGCCGGCUCAACCGGUAGAGUGCGCUGGGAACUGCGGGACUGGAGUCUUGGAGGGGGAGCUGGAAUUCCAGGUGUAGGGGUGAAAUCUGUAGAGAUCUGGAAGAACACCGGUGGCGAAGGCGAGCUCCUGGCCGAUGACUGACGCUGAGGCGCGAAAGCGUGGGGAGCAAACAG
Molecule: ribosomal RNA, 429 nt
Filed under: uncultured bacterium
Lineage: Bacteria
Description: bacterial SSU rRNA
Rfam family: Bacterial small subunit ribosomal RNA
Source: RNAcentral